Prinia subflava (tawny-flanked prinia) is the source of this 2306-nucleotide long non-coding RNA. RefSeq lists it as uncharacterized. The record is from RefSeq and is a predicted model, not a curated record. The transcript is spliced from 6 exons. Lineage: Eukaryota; Metazoa; Chordata; Aves; Passeriformes; Cisticolidae.
GGGAAACACAGUGAGAGCUUGGGUGGCACUGCAGGCACAGCCCACGGUGUGCCCAGGAGCUGUGCAAGGUCAGCAGGGCCCAGGCACUGGAACUGGCACCAAGGCAGAGCGAGGCAGCUGGGCACAAAUGUGCCAGGGAACUGUGGGCAGGUUUCCUUCACUCUGUCAUCACCACAGUUUUGCUCCUCACAUCUCUGUCUCCCAACCAGCUGAAUCACUGAACCAAACUGGGUGAGACAAACAGAACCAGGUGUCCACACAAUUCCCUGAGGAGAUGUCCUUGUAAUGCCCUGAAGGAGAGAAACUGAGCUGCACUGGGAGGUUCCAUUCUUCCAGGGGCACUGAUGCACAGAAAACCCACAAAGGCCCAGAAGGGAACCCAGGCACUGCUGGUUUCUAAAUUUAUGGGCAGUGCAAGCCACUGUCACAAAACCUCUGUCAAAGACCAGGCACGACACAGCCCUGAAAAAUCAGGAUACUCAUGGCACCUAUCCAGCCUUCCCUGGGAGUUUUGGAUGACUGAGUUGAACGAAUGAAUGAGCAGGCAGCUGGAACAAUUUUCUCUGGUGCUGCAAUUUGUAUGAUCUGAGUUUUUGUAGACUCUGCACGUUCAAGGAGGGCUGGAACAAGAGAGACAUUUAGUGAUGAGAACCUCAGUGUGGGAAAUACAUUUGAAAUGUCCAGCUCCACUUGUGCCUGCUGCACAUCAGCCUCUCUUGUGUGAAGCUGGACUGCAUUUCUUGCAGCUGCAGAUGGGAAUGACUCAGGGCAGAGCUGUCCCAGCUCCCUGUCCAGCAAGGACACUGCUCUGGGUGAUCAGAUCUGAAAUGUGAAUUAUUGGGACAUGCAGUCACUGCCAGCCCAGUGCUGGAGGAUCCUGAUUGCUGAUUGCCAGCAGGGAAAAGGAGUCACAGCAGGGCCCUCAGCACGCAGGGAUCCAUCCUGUUCCUGUGAGGGGAACCUGCUGUGAUGCUGCCCACGGAAAUCAUCAGCCCCACCAGGGUUCCCUAAACAUCAGGGAUUGAGUUAGGGCUUAUUAAAUGUGGUGCUGUCUCACUGCAAUACUGAAAGAUAAAAUAAAUAAAACUGUGCAACAGGAGAAGAACAAAGAUUCCUCUGCAGGCCAUGGUGAGACCAGGGUGAGGCAGCUGUGACCCUGCAGCCCCUGGGGAUCCCUGGGGAUGCAGAGAUACCCCCACAGCCCCUGGGGAUCCCUGGGGAUGCAGAGAUCCCCCCACAGCCCCUGGGGAUCCCUGGGGAUGCAGAGGAGCGCGGGGUGUUCGGAACCGGGGCUGGAGACGGGCGGGGCAGCGGCACCUCCGGGGCCGGGAUGGGAAGGGACCGGGGAUGAGGGGAGGAGCGGGACCGGGCCCGGACCGGGAUCGGGACGCGGAGCCGGAGCGGGCCCGGGCCGGGAUCGGGACGCGGAGCCGGAGCGGGCCCGGGCCGGGAUCGGGACGCGGAGCCGCAGCGGGCCCGGGCCGGGAUCGGGACGCGGAGCCGGAGCGGGCCCGGGCCGGGCGCUCCCGGCAGGACCCGCGGCCGCUGUGCCGGGAGCGCAGGCGCGGAGCGGGAGCGGCAAUGGCGGAGCCCGGGGAGCAGCAGGGCCGGGCCGGGGACAGCGGGGGAGACUGCGGCGGGCUCGGAGAAUCCUCUGGGGCUGACACAAAGACCAGGAACCUUUGAGAUGGAAAGAGCCGGAGCAAGUUGAUGUGAGAAAGGAAAAUUAAAGAUGGGAAACGUUCAGGCAAGAGGUGCCGAAAAGAACCGGAGUUUCUGAUCUGAAGUCUCCAACUGAAAAUCCCCUGUGGAUUGUCACCGGUCCAGUUUUCAUGGACUGCUCACCUUGGCCAGGAGUGUCCAAUCCUGCUGGAAAUGCACUGCACCAGGAUGGCAUUUUCGUUUCGUGCUGGUGAAGACCCUCUGGGUGACCCCCAGGCACUGGAAGGGCUGGCCUGGGCUCCCAGGGCACUAAUUCCAGGAAUUGUGUUUUUGGGAACAGCACAGGAGCCUUUCCCUUGCCCAGAGGAGCAGCCAGAGCCUCCCUUCAUUCACAGAUUCCCAGGAUGGAACACAAGGAAAGGAACAGCAAUGUGGAAAUGCCCCACACUGGGAGCUGAUGGUGCUCUGGAUCACAUUUUGGAUUUCUAAUGUCAAAGGGGCAGUGUGGAGGGGUUUUUCUCUCUGCUGUUCAUUGCUGUACUCACUGCCCUUGUUGCUCUCACUGUUACUGUGUGUUGCCAUUACUAUUAAAUUAAAUUAAAUUUGCCUUGGUUUCCAUUAUUAUUAAACUGUUCUGAGCUGGG